AACCCCGCCCUUGCUGAUUACAGCCCCAGCUGCAGCAACAAAACGAUGUUCCCAGAGGCUUCUCCUGGCUGGUCUGAGAUGCUGUCCUCUGCAGUUACCUUGCAUGUGGCAGUACCUUUUUGAACUUAGUCUUAAAAAUGAAUCCAGUUGUUUUGCAGCCAAGAUAUGGCGCAGGAGGUGCGACGGUUAGUGACUGGCAAACCGGCGUGUUUGACUGCUGUGAUGACGUGGGGAUUUGCCUCUGUGGGACUUUCUUGCCCCUGUGCCUUUGAUGUCAGAUUGCCUCUGACAUGGACGAAUGCUGCCUGUGUGGAGCAAGUGUCGCCAUGAGGACCAUGUAUCGGACCCAAUACGGCAUCCCGGGGUCUAUUUGUAAUGAUUUCCUAUGUCUGGCAUGUUUCCCUUUUUGCACCCUUUGUCAACUCAAGCGAGAUAUUGAAAAAAGAAGAGCAAUGAAUGCUUUGUAAAAGAUGCAAGGUCAAAUUCACUAGUAGUGAAAGAAAAUGCUGGAAUGAAAUACUGCAUCUAUUCAGUGCUAUCUCACCUCAAGUCUUAAGAAACUAAUUCAGCUAAUCAUAUGGUUUCAAAUGGCUUCAAAACAUUUUUAAUAUUUGGUUUAUUUUGAAAGAAAUAUAUUUCUACUGCUGUUCUCUGAGAUGAAUGCCAUUAAAAAAUUAAUUUCCUCAAC
Long non-coding RNA from Orcinus orca (killer whale), 688 nucleotides. RefSeq lists it as uncharacterized. The transcript has 5 exons. The record is from RefSeq and is a predicted model, not a curated record. NCBI's taxonomy places the organism in Eukaryota, Metazoa, Chordata, Mammalia, Artiodactyla, Delphinidae.